GGGAAGGUGGCUCAGUGGUAGAGCGCUUGCCUUACAUGCAUAAGGCUAUGGGUUCGAUUCCUCAGUACCA
RNAcentral lists this transfer RNA (70 nucleotides) under Dipodomys ordii (Ord's kangaroo rat). It matches the Rfam family "tRNA". From Rfam's summary of the family: Transfer RNA (tRNA) molecules are approximately 80 nucleotides in length. Their secondary structure includes four short double-helical elements and three loops (D, anti-codon, and T loops). Lineage: Eukaryota; Metazoa; Chordata; Mammalia; Rodentia; Heteromyidae. The record is from Rfam by way of RNAcentral.